This 910-nucleotide long non-coding RNA is filed under the name Nicotiana benthamiana. RNAcentral's name for it is "long non-coding RNA (NBEN_LNC011131)". Lineage: Eukaryota; Viridiplantae; Streptophyta; Magnoliopsida; Solanales; Solanaceae. The record is from RNAcentral.
CCUCCUCAUUCUUCUUCCCCAUCUCAAACCCUCAAAGACCAAAACCCCAAAACCCUAGCCGCCUCUAGGCAAUUUGCACCAAAAACCCAGCGGCAAUGACGCCGCCGGUCACCCCGUUAACACCACAGAACCCCCAUCACACCAGAAAGCCAAAUCCACUAACCCCUAAUCUCGAAUCAAACAGAACCUUCUUAAAUCUUCAUUUGAAGAUUCGAGCCCAGAUUCAACUCACACCAAAUCACCCCAAAUCAAUACCAAGCACUCCCCUGACAUCUCUCGUACCUAAACCAACAAGGUUUUGGUUCGAAUCUGACCUGAAAAGGCCGAACCCUAAAAGUGACUGUAUCAACCCUAGAAAAUCCAAGGUUUGGAGUCUGGCCAAGUUAAGUGGAAAUUGGGAUCCAAAGGACUCUAUUCUAGGUGUUCUCAACUGAGAACACCCCGAGUUGCCUGCCCAGUUGAGUAAAUAGGGGUAGAGUUGUUGUUUGCUGGUGAUUGAUGCGUCUCCAGUGAACUUCUCAUGCUGUUAUUCAUGUCAUCCAUAAAGGUUGACUAGAUAAUGUUGUAGAGAUGCCCAUCUUGAAAGGCUCCAUGAAGGUUGAAUGCUGGUAGUGCACUGCAGUAAGUUUCUUAGGUUCCUUCAAAUCACUGUUUAGUAGCUGUAAUUCAAAGUAGUAUCUGGUAAGAUUGCUAUGCUGUUUAAGUAGUAUUUUUGUAUUCCUGGAGGCAUGUAUGGAUGAAUACUUGGUGCAAAUGGUACAGUUUCAUCAGAUUAUAUAUUAAUAUAGUAAACUUGAUUUUCAAUUUUAGGCUAAAGAACUAGGAAGACCGGCUCAUCUACAUGAGCUUCUGAAGAAGACUCAUGUCAAGGCGAACAUGGAGUUUGUGGAACAAAAAUCUAAGAGCACAU